UGGGACCCGGGUGAUCCGAACACAAGGAGU
This 30-nucleotide non-coding RNA is filed under the name Homo sapiens (human). The record is from RNAcentral. Lineage: Eukaryota; Metazoa; Chordata; Mammalia; Primates; Hominidae.